Molecule: ribosomal RNA, 169 nt
Filed under: uncultured bacterium WkB06
Lineage: Bacteria
Description: partial 16S ribosomal RNA
Source: RNAcentral
AUUACCGCGGCUGCUGGCACGAAGUUAGCCGGGGCUUCUUCUCUCGGUACCGUCAUAAUCGUCCCGAUCGAAAGGAGUUUACGUUCCCAAGGGACUUCAUCCUCCACGCGGCGUUGCUGCGUCAGGUUUCCCCCAUUGCGCAAAAUUCCCCACUGCUGCCUCCCGUAGG